This 440-nucleotide ribosomal RNA is filed under the name uncultured bacterium. RNAcentral describes it as "partial 16S ribosomal RNA". It matches the Rfam family "Bacterial small subunit ribosomal RNA", at positions 338 to 795 of the family's 1533-position model. The record is from RNAcentral.
CCUACGGGUGGCAGCAGUGGGGAAUAUUGCACAAUGGGGGAAACCCUGAUGCAGCGACGCCGCGGGAGUGAAGAAGUAAAUCGUUAUGUAAAGCUCUAUCAGCAGGGAAGAAAAUGACGGUACCUGAGUAAGAAGCCCAGGCUAACUACGUGCCAGCAGCCGCGGUAAUACGUAGGGGGCAAGCGUUAUCCGGAUUUACUGGGUGGAAAGGGAGCGUAGACGGCAGUGCAAGUCUGGAGUGAAAGGCGGGGGCUCAACCCCCGGACUGCUCUGGAAACUGUACGGCUGGAGUGCAGGAGAGGUAAGUGGAAUUCCUAGUGUAGCGGUGAAAUGCGUAGAUAUUAGGAGGAACACCAGUGGCGAAGGCGGCUUACUGGACUGUAACUGACGUUGAGGCUCGAAAGCGUGGGGAGCAAACAGGAUUAGAUACCCCUGUAGUC